RNAcentral lists this microRNA precursor (103 nucleotides) under Marmota monax (woodchuck). Lineage: Eukaryota; Metazoa; Chordata; Mammalia; Rodentia; Sciuridae. The record is from RNAcentral.
AGUGGAAUAGCUGGGUCAAAUGGUGGUUCCAUUCCCAGAUUUCCAAGGAAUCUCCAUACUGCUUUCCAAAUUGGCUGCACCAAUUUGCAGUCCCACCAGCAAU